GGAGAGAUGGCUGAGUGGUCGAUAGCGGCGGUCUUGAAAACCGUUGAACCUUCACGGGUUCCGGGGGUUCGAAUCCCUCUCUCUCCGCCA
Molecule: transfer RNA, 90 nt
Filed under: Acidobacterium sp.
Lineage: Bacteria; Pseudomonadati; Acidobacteriota; Terriglobia; Terriglobales; Acidobacteriaceae
Also listed under: 1 other name
Description: tRNA-Ser
Rfam family: tRNA
About the family: Transfer RNA (tRNA) molecules are approximately 80 nucleotides in length.
Source: RNAcentral